This 336-nucleotide unclassified non-coding RNA is filed under the name soil metagenome. RNAcentral describes it as "partial contains 5.8S ribosomal RNA, internal transcribed spacer 2, and large subunit ribosomal RNA". The stretch from base 1 to 120 matches the Rfam family "5.8S ribosomal RNA", at positions 35 to 154 of the family's 154-position model. The record is from RNAcentral.
GAUGAAGAACGCAGCGAAAUGCGAUAAGUAAUGUGAAUUGCAGAAUUCAGUGAAUCAUCGAAUCUUUGAACGCACAUUGAGCCCGCCAGUAUUCUGGCGGGCAUGCCUGUUCGAGCGUCAUUUCAACCAUCAAGCCCCAGGCUUGUGUUGGGGACCUGCGGCUGCCGCAGGCCCUGAAAACCAGUGGCGGGCUCGCUGUCACACCGGGCGUAGUAGAUUUUAUCUCGCUCAGGGCGUGCUGCGGGUUCCGGCCGUUAAAAAGCCUUUUUUACCCAAGGUUGACCUCGGAUCAGGUAGGAAGACCCGCUGAACUUAAGCAUAUCAAUAAGCGGAGGA